GUCGGCCUGUCCAAUGUCCUCCACCUGCUCCCUCUCAGCGCACGUCCCGGUUGUCGUUCCUUCUAUUUCUGCACCUUUUCUUUGGUUGACAUGGUGGUUGAUGUGGUCUCUGCCUCCUCUGUCUGACAGGGAGCCCAGGGGACCCACAGUGCCCGGCUGACUCCAUUGUGCUCCUGAGCUUGCGCCUGGCGCACAGCCCGUGCUAACGUACAGUAGAAGGAGCUGCAGAAAUUGCUAGCAAGGGAGGGAGGACGAAUGAGUCACACGGAGCCCUGCUGUGGCCUCAGGGCUGGCCAGCUCCGCCCCGAGAGGCUGGGAGCAUCUCCCUGAGAAGCAAUCCUGUAGAAGCUCCAGGAGCCUCUGGUGACCCGGGGUCUCCCUGCCCAGGCCACCCCUCCCUCUGCACCCCCUUUGCCCCAGUGAACAGCCCAGUGGAUGCCCCCGGCUCAGGGCCCCCUGGGCCUGUGCAGCUGCCUCUGCAGCCAGUGCUGGAGGCUGGAAGUCCACGGUCAACACACCUGGAGAGCUCUCUUCCUGGUUCACGGACGGCACCUUCUGGCUGCGUCCUCACAUGGUGGAAGGGGCGAGGGGGCUCUCUGGGGUCUGUUUCAUUAGGGCGCUGAUCCCAUUCAUGGGGCCUCCACCCUCAUGACCUCAUCACCUCCCAAAGGUCCCGCCAACAAAUACCGUGUGUCUGAGGGUUAGGAUUUCAACACACGAGCUUUGUGGGGGCACAACACUCAGACCACCCAGGAUGUGUAUGCAGGUGGCAUAGCAGGGGCUGGAGGGUGGUCUGUCCAGUCCUACCGUGCAGCCGUCACCCACCUACCCAGCACGAGGCCCGCAGAGUGGGACCCUGCACCCGGACACACCCCCCGCGGCGGUGGGGGAGACCGCCCGGGCACAACAGAGCUCAAGAAUGACCCUAAGCGUGUGAAGAUAGACCUGCCCUACCCAGGACGGUCGCCACGAACUGCAUGUGGCUAUCGGGUGCUUGAAAUGUGCUGGUCCAAAUUGAGAUCUCCCAGGUAUGGACCCCAAAGAAUCGAAAACAGGUGUUCAGAUAAAUUCUCGUGCACGCAUGUACAUAGCAGCAUUAUUCACAAGAGCCCAAAGGUAGAAACAUCCCAGAUGCCCAUCAACAGAUGAACAGAUGAAGAAAACGUGGUGUACAUAUGCAGCGAAAUACGCUCCAGCCAUAAAAGGGAAGGAAGCCCGGAUACAGGCUGCAGCGUGGACGGACCUUGGAAACAUUAUGCUCAGCAAAGGAAACCAG
This 1276-nucleotide long non-coding RNA is filed under the name Equus caballus (horse). RNAcentral's name for it is "lncRNA (ENSECAG00000053044.1)". The record is from RNAcentral. Lineage: Eukaryota; Metazoa; Chordata; Mammalia; Perissodactyla; Equidae.